GCAUCCUACGGGACGCAGCAGUGAGGAAUAUCGGUCAAUGGGAGAGAUCCUGAACCAGCCAAGCCGCGUGAGGGAAGACGGCCCUAUGGGUUGUAAACCUCUUUUGUCGGAGAACAAAACCCGGGACGUGCCCCGGACUGCGUGUAUCCGAAGAAAAAGCAUCGGCUAACUCCGUGCCAGCAGCCGCGGUAAUACGGAGGAUGCGAGCGUUAUCCGGAUUUAUUGGGUUUAAAGGGUGCGUAGGCGGUCCGUUAAGUCAGCGGUACAAUUGCGGGGCUCAAACCCGUCGAGC
This 292-nucleotide ribosomal RNA is filed under the name uncultured bacterium. RNAcentral describes it as "partial 16S ribosomal RNA". It matches the Rfam family "Bacterial small subunit ribosomal RNA", at positions 334 to 624 of the family's 1533-position model. The record is from RNAcentral.